UUACAGCCAUAUCACUUUGAAACACCUGUUCGCGUACUAUCACAAAAGUUAAGAAAUAUCGAGCCUGGACAGUACCUAGAUGGGUCACCGCUUGGGAAUACCAUAUGUUGUAAG
Non-coding RNA from Acanthosepion pharaonis, 114 nucleotides. The record is from the annotation of a GenBank genome assembly. NCBI's taxonomy places the organism in Eukaryota, Metazoa, Mollusca, Cephalopoda, Sepiida, Sepiidae.